CGGGCGUCGUCUAGGCUCCUUUAAAGGAGCCGCGCCCCAGAUCAGCCUACUUCACUGCAGAUUCCUGCCAAAGCUGGUAGGGUAGAGGAGCAAGAAACCAAAAAUCAGAACUCAUCGGUGGUCUUCGGGGAACCUAAUAGAGACUGGUCAGCCUUUUCUUGGAUGAAGUAACAGUUUUCAGGCUCCAAGGCCUGGGCCACUGUGACCUGGUGUGAGAGGAAGUACACGAAACGCUACUCAGUGUCUCCUCUGCAAUGGAAAGGGACUUGGUCCCACUCACAUGCACAAGUGACUGGCGGCUUGACUUGGUAUCUUGGCACUCCUGGUGACUGUCUGGGAAAAGCUAAAGCCGCUUUCACAGUUCCAGUGUCUCCAAGCAAUCUCUUUGGAUUCGGAACCUGUCACAGAGAGGAUGAAGCCACUCAGAGCAGCAGAACCUUCAAGAUCCGAUCUCCUCUCCAAAGACCACCAGAGGACAAGACAAGACCACAGGAAAAGGUGGGUUCCAGGAAUCGGGUGUGAAGUGAUGUCUCAGUGGGGUUUUACCAUCUCCACCCCCCCUCCCACCACCAGCGAUUACUGAUGAGCGGAGCACUGGUGUUAGCGGUCACAUGUCUUCCUUUGAGAUAUGCUAUUCACAUCUUUUGAGUGGCUUUUCUUCUCUGUACAUUGCUGGGACUGGGCCUGCCAGGCAAGUGGCUCUACCACUAGGCUGCAUCCCAGGCCCUUUGCUCCUUUUAAUUGGGCUGUUUGUUUUCUCAAGAUGGAGUUGUUUGAAUUCCUUAUGUUAUUUAUAGAUAGGAAGAAAAGCCAAAGAGUAGGAAAGCCCUCUCUGCGUUGUGCUGAAUUUAAAUUCCAAGCAUAUUCCUAUUUUAAGUUUUGCUACUUCUGUGUUUACUUGAUUUGAUUUAAUUUUGAUUUUGUAGCGCUGGGGUUUGAACCCAGAGCCUCACACAUGCCAAGCAAGUGCUCUAUUACUGAGCUAUCAUCACCGAAGCUGUUUCCACUUUGACCUGUUGCUUGUGGAUGAAUUCCCUCAUCACCCUGCCCCAUCUUAGCCCUCCAGUUCAAAUUCCAAUUAUUUGUCUGCUCCUUGGCUUUCUGAUGCCACUUUCUGUUUCAAACAUUCCUUUCCCCUUUCCUAUCGUGGCAAUCCUGAGACUCCAGAUUCCCUCUUUUGCAUUCUUAAACAGCACCCCACAGCGCCUACUCCACAAAGCGGGCACCUUUCCCUUGCUAUGUGCCCAGCUGCUGCAUUAUAGUGACAGGGAGCUCAAAGGAGCUGUUGACACCCAUGGGCUUACAUUUGCAAUGGGCUUGGAAGCUGAGAGAAAAUACCAGAAGGAAUCUAGGAACCAAACACAGGGAAUGGUGCCACCCACAGUGAGGAUACCCCUCAGGUAUGUCCAGAGACCCAUCUCCGAGGUAAUUCUAGAUGUCAUCAAGUUGACAAUUGAAAUUAACCUUCACAAACACCACCUUUCCUAUAGAAAUGUGCUAAGUCUAACAUUUGACAUUAUACUCUUGAAAUUGUAAACAAAUUACUGACCCAACACAGAAAUUCAGAAACUGCAUGCAGUGAAAUUAGCUACAAAAUAAGGGCUUGCUGGACAAGCAUGAGGACCUGAGUGGGAUUCCCAGCAUCCAUGUAGAAAGGUGGGCACAAUGGGAUGUACUUGUAAUUAGCACCCAGGAGGCAAAUACUGGCAGAUUCUGUAGAACUAGAGUUUUAAAAAGGUUACUCAUUGUCAGAGUCCGGAUGUGCAGGGCCGGACGUGCCUGAGGGAGAGCCAGAGAGAGGACUUGCCAAACCAGCUAUCAGCCCCAAGGACAUUGAUCAUCUGUAGCCACCCCCUCCCCUUCCUUCACCCCCCUGAGUGAGAUGAGCCACCCUACCUGCCUGCCGAGCUGCUAGAGAGCACGUACACCUUGCUGAUGUAAUUUCGCACCGAAAGUAACUGUGCACCAUUUGAAUUGACCAAUCAUGUGUAACCACGCGAAUACCCCUAUAUAAACCCCCGAGUUUGGAAGCUCGGGGUCGAUUCCUCUGUCUCCUGUGUGGGAUACGUAUCGACCCGGGAUCCCGCUAAUAGGGAUCUCGUUAAUAAAAGCUACCUCCUGCUGUUACAUCAAGAUGGCUACUUCGUGAUUCCUGGGGGCACCCCAUCCCACGAUUGGAGUAAGAAAUGCGGCUCCCCGUUUAAGCUCUUUCAAUUCCAGGGUCUUGUAGGACAGCUAGUACAGCCAAAUGGUGGUCAGCAACUGGCCAUGUUUCCAAAAAAAGAAAAACGUGCAGAAGCAGUUGAGGAAAAUACCCUAAUACCACCUUUAGCCUAACACACACACACACACACACACACACACACACACACACACAAACACACACACAUACACACAUACACACACAAACACACAUACACACACAAACACACAUACACACAAACAUACACACAUACACACAAACACACAUACUAACACAUACACACAUACACACACAAACAUACACACAUACACAAACACACACACAAACACACACACAUACACACACAAACACAAACACACACACAAACAUACACACAUACACAAACACACACACACACACACACACACACACACACUAACACCUGUCACACGGCUUCAUUCUUCAUUCCUACACAUGGGUGUAGCUACAAGGCAACAUAACCCAUCUUCAUUCCUCUGUACAUCAGCCACUGGACUAAAAGAAUUGGAUUCAAAAGAGUGGAGAGGAGACAAGAUUCUCUUCCAAUCACUCACAGAUAAGGAGUGACCCUCAUUUGUAUUGUACUUAUACUAGAUCCCAGCAAGAUGUGUUCGUUUUUGAAUGGUGAAAAGUCACCUCUCUUUUUAUUACCUGUACAUAUGCUCUGUUCACAAAACACACCUUACAGUAUUCUAGGUUUAUGUUAUUUAAACUAUUAAAGAUAAAAUUGUAUAAAGGUCUACACUAUUGAUGCUAGCUUAGAAAUCCAAGGGCUUUGAACCAGUAAGGACAUUUGUGGAAAAUGUUCAGCCUUGCUUGUGGCUGACUUAUUUCUGAUGGAUUUUGGUAUGUGUGGGAAGGAGUCAGGUUGAGAUCAUUGUAUACUUUAAGUCUCAGUACUGUCAGUUUUCCAUACAAAUGAAUGACCUUUUGUUAAGUGAUGAAUUAAAAAAUUAAUCAUUUAAUAAGGGAGUAAGGAGUUGGUUUCCAGCAAUGGUGCUAAAAUUAUCCACUAAAGGAAGAACAGACUUUUUGACAAGUGGACACCCACAUGCAAAAGAAAUAAUUUACCCAAUCCGAUACACACAAAUAAACUCAAAAUAGCAUUUAAAAACCUAAAUAUAGGAGUCAAAGCCCUUCUCUUUUAGAGGGAAAUAUGGCUAUAAAUCUCCAUGUUCUUAGAUUAGGCAACAAUUUCUUAAAUUUGACACCAAAACACAGGCAAUAAAGGAGAAAAUAAAUAAAGAAUAUUUUAUUAUAACUAAAGACUUGUACAUAAAGGUCACUAUCUAGAAGGCAAAAGUAAUUCAAACUGCAAAAUAAGAGAAAACAUUUGUAACUAAUAUAUCUGCCUAAGGUCUAGAAUAUAUAAAUAACUCUUAGAAUUCAACAACAAGAUAUACAACUCAAUUUAAGACAAAGGACUUAAAUAGGCAUUUCUCCAAAGAAAAUAUACAAAUGUCCAACAAGCACAUUAAAACAAUCUCAACAACAUUAGUCAUUAGGGGGAAAUGCAAUUCAAAACCCAAAUGAAUUUACAUUGGUUUUCAUCCCCAUUAGUAUAGCUAUAAUAAAAAUAAACAAAAUUACAAGAGACGGUGAGGCUGUGAAGAAAUUAGAGCCCUUGUACAUUGCGAGUGGGACUAUAAAAUGGCACAGCUGCUCUGGAAAACAGCUUGGCAGUUUCUCAAAAAGUUAAACAUAGAACUACCCAUAACCCUGCAUUUCCACUCAUAAAUAUAUACACGAGAGAAUUGAAAACAUAUGUCCACACGAAACCUCGUACAUGGACACUCACAGAAGCAUUAUUCAUACCAACCCAGAAAUGGAAGCCAUUCCAACGCCCAUCAGCUGACGAACAGGUAAACAAAGCGUGCUCUCCCACAUAACAGAAUAUUAUUCAACCAGGAAAAGAAACGAGGCACCAAUUCGUGUUACCACACGGAUGAACCUUAAAACAUUAUGAUAAGUAUACAAAAGGCUGUGUGUUGGAUAAUUCCAUUUAUAUGAAGUGUCCAGAAUAAGCAAGUCCAUAGAGACAGAAAGUAGGUUAGAGGCUCCCUAGGGCCAGGAACCAGGAGAGACAGAUAAAAGUUAAACAGGCAGAGCAUUUCUAUGGGGGAAACUGAAAAUGGUCUGGGAGGAGGUAGGAAUGAUGGCUGCCCUAUUCUUUCAAAUGUCCUAAAGACCACUUAAAAUAGUUAAUUGUAUGCUAUGUGAACUUAAUCUCAAAAGAAAGAGUAAGGAGGCCUCCUAUGUUUCAUCGUGAUGGAUUUAGUUAACUGUCAGGACCUGCUGUUUCCAUGAGCUAAUGUGGUUCAGAGGCACAUUUUCUGCUGGGUUCCAACACAGAAAUGCAGGGGUGGGGCAUGAUACCGAUAUGAUGUGGGCUUUGUUAUCAAAGUCUUUAUGCUCCAUUGGAGGAUUCAUACCCAUUUUUCACCAAGUAGAGCAACGGCCUGAAGAUCAGAAGCGGUGAGAGCCAGUACCCAUUCUGAAGGAGAAACACUAUAAGGUAGGGCGGAGUUAUGACUCAGUUUGUAGAGUUCUUCUAGUUCUCUAGGUCUAGCAUGUACCAGGCCCUGUGUUCAAUGCCCAACACCCAUUAAAACUAGGUGUGGUGGUGCAUGCCUGUAAUCUCAGAGAGUCAGAGGUAGAGGCAGGAACUCCUAGGUGCAGAGCAGAUUAGAGGCCGGCCUGAGCUCCUAGAGAUCCUAUAGGUCUCAUAGAGGUGUGUGUGUGUGUGUGUGUGUGUGUGUGUGUGUGUGUGUGUGUGUGUGUGUGAUAUGAGGGCUUUACAGGAUGAAAAGGAACUUGACACAUAUUUGAGGUGUUGAAGAGCAUUCUGGGAAGUAGGACUGACUUAAACAAAGGCUGAGAGAUGUAUCAAGCAUUCAAAAGUAGCCAUUUUGUGCCUGGAUUAUGAUCCCAGCUCUCUGCUAUUCCUUUUUCUUAAACACCAGAGCCAUUCUCUGCUUUGAUCCAUGGUUCUUAUCUCGAAGAAGAUGCCUUCCAUGUGAAAGCUGGGAAAGAGAAACGUUGUCCUUGAACUUUAGUGGAGCUUGACAGGAUCCUUCAUCAAAUCCUACCUGCAGUUUUCUGAGCACGUGGAACGGAGUCAGUGCCCGGCUCUGGUCCUACAGGCUAUAUCUCCUUUCUUGAACCUCUCUUUGCUACAAGGACUAGGUACAUCUACCUGCUAGACAGAUGUUUUUCUUCCCACUUAUAGAGGCUUUUGAUCCAUGGAUAAGGAAGCCAGGGACAAAAGAAGACCCGCUCCAUUCUUCUGGGAAGAGCUGUCGAAUCUGUCUCCUUGGGAAGUUAGAUGGAUUUGGCUCCUAUUUGGAUGGCAAACCCACUGCCUGAAGGUGGAGAGUGGGGGAUAGUUGGAGAGGGUCUUGGUGCCUAAUGAAUUGUUCAGCAGAGUGCCCCACAGAAAGAAAGGCAGAUUCUCAAUCUGGAGCCAUGGAGCCCCUAAUGCCUCCCAGAUGAGGAACUAGCCAUAGACCUCCAAGGGUGUACUUGCUGACAUUUGCUCUCACAAGCACUGGGCAUAAGCCUAUUUUAUUGUGUUUAGCAUUGUGCAUGCAGAACAUGACAUUGCAAACACAAGCAUCCUGGACGAUGGAGCUGGUCCUCGGCAGACUUUCUCUAAAGCCAGAGAUAAUCCCUCCUGCACCAGAGCGCCAGCGUGAUGAUCCAGUCAGUGUCUAAAGCCCCAUGUGCUUACAGGAGAUCAAACAUCUGUCUCAGGCAAUUCUAGUCUACUGCCUAUCCAAAAGUGGAUCUAAGCAUGUGCCUACCUGAGACUGAUGUCCUACCCUGUAACAGUGAGUGAGGGUAGAAGACAUACAACAGAGUAAAUAUGCUCCCCUAUACUCUGGACCAAAUGAGACAUGAUUUAACACUGACCUGUCCUUGAACCAGCUGAUAAUUUGUUUUUAAAAUCCAAGCAAGCACGACUCCCAUUCCACUGUCUAUCGCUCGGUGUCUGAGGGAUAAUGGCCUGACAGUGCCGACAAGGACCAGAUGUGCAGUGGAUGGGUCGGGUCGGUCAGUGCUGGGAAGAAGAGAGGAGGGAGGGAAUAAGCUUGGAUGUCAUUACUUGGAAGGGUCACAGGGUCACUGACAGUGGCAAGAAACAGAUUUUUCCAGCUGCUUUCGGGCUGAGAUUUGCUCUGCAUAAUCUGGAUGCUUUUAUCUGUUUCUGAAAAUAGACAGGAAUUUUUUCCACAGGCUGCUCCAAUCUGGCUGUGGAGACGUGAGGGGGGAUUGAAGAGACAGUUGCAUGCAGUCCGGUAUGUUCGUUUGGAGCCCCCAUCCUCCACUUGUCCCUCCCUGCACCAGCCCUACAGGACAACAUCAUCUUAAUGUCCCUUGAAGAGGAGGGUCAGAAAUGUGAUGGAUACUUUCCACUCUGAAUUUUGCUUAGCAUCAGAGUAAGCAAUUCUUCCAUCGUUUGCCGUAAACACUCAGAGUAAAAGACCUUGGUGUGGUCAGAAGCACAGCUCUUUUAUCUAUAGCAUAACAACACCAUUCAGGAGACAAAUGAAGCAGGAAAGACAACGGCUCCGUCAGACUUAGGCUGUAUGGUUGUUACCAGUUCCACAAAUCGUUCUCUACCUUUGUCCUACCCUACAAAGAAGCAUUGCAAAUUAUCUGCAGAGAUCUUCUGGAAGGUUAACUCUGGAUUAAAUCAGGCUCAUCUCUCAGCAGCUGGUCCCUCUCGUCUGAGAUCAAAAGGAUCUUGAACCUUCCAAGUGAACUGCUGUCAAGCGAACAGCAGGAGGACCUCGAAUAUUAUUUACAUAGAGUUUUCUUUCCCCAAUUAUGUAUUGGUUUCUUCUUGUUACAAGCCUAUUUUAUAAACAAGGGAACCAAGACACAAAAGAGAAAACAGCAUACAGGAUCAUGUAGGCAGCCAUUAGGCCAGAAAUGAACAUAUCUUGAUGCCGCCUAUAUCUAUUCCAGCAUCUCGUUUCAAUUGUCAUUCAGCCACCUACCAAGAGAAAGGGCUCAGUUGUUUCGAGCAUGCAGGAGAACAACGUAGACCUUGUUGUAAAUGGAAAUUGACCAUGUGUACAUGGAGGCAAGAGGAGAGUGGCAGAUUGAUCCAGAAUGCUGGCAGUACCUCGAGGCUCUGAGAUGCCUUCCUUGUCCCUAGGAACGAACAGCCUCCUAAUUACAUCAGAGAGCUAGGAGGGGGGUAACAAAAGCAGACAUGGCAACUCGGUACCAUCCACUAUGGCCAAGGUCCUUGGAGAACUCUCAAUGAUGGCUGUGUCUAGAACCUGCAGUGCGGGAGUCACUUUCCCAAUGACACAGCUUUUCAACAUGAGGCAGUGCUAGGGAUCAAGUGUGUUCCCAGCUCUCACGCCUGGUGCUAGGGUGGCAUCACAAAGACCAUUGUAGUGCACAGGGAAAGGACUUGGAUCGACUGUGUGUACAAUGCUUGUGUCUCACCAGUUUUAGACAUGGUCAUCAAAGAGGGCAAAGAAGGGGAAGAAAGGCACAAAGAUCAGGGGAAGAUGGACAAAGACAUGGGAGGGAGGGAGACUAGAAGGAUGAGACAAAAACCUGAAUAGUGGUAACACGGAGAUAGUCAACAGCCUUCAUACAACAGGGCAGGGCAAGCCAGAGAGAAAGGGGGCAAAGGCAUUUUUAGCAGAGUGAGCCUACAUUGGCUCCAUAAUUGCUGUACCUUUAAGCCUCAGUGGGGACAUAGACAAACAAUCUGACCCACCGUUCCAGGGUCUUCUAGCCCAAAGCAACUCAGAGGAAAGAGGAGCAGGGAGCUGGCUGGUUUUAGAUGCAUGGAAAGAGGCAGGCUGGCAUCUGAGUCGCCCCCUCUUCUGGAAGCACCAAUGCACAUAGGAACUGACUUGCCGCUGAUGUCAUCUGGUAGUGACUUGUACAAGAGGAAAUGGUGGCACAUGGCAGCAGACACUUGUCCACGCUGUUCUUCAUUUCCCCAGGUACAGUUCCAAGGAUGUAGAAUUGCAGCUCUUUCAUAAUAAUAAAUAAAGUUAUAAAAGGAAAAAAUGGAGUACAUGGAGAACAGACUUUUAAGAGGAUCCUCGAUGGACGGAAAACAGACUUUCAUUCUUCUUGUUGGACCACUGGGGGGAUACUGUGUAGCAAAAGGUACAUGAGCUUCCACCUCAGGAAGAUAGAAACUUAAGCCUACCUUUGCUACAUAGUGGCCUUGAUAUCUUUGAGCCCCCUGUGUCCACAUAGGCAUCUGUGCAAUAGGAAAAUGCUAUCUACCAUGCAGAGUUCUUAUGAAGACUGGUGUUGAGUGCUUGGCAUCUGAGAGGUGGAUAUCUCUUGGCUAUUAACAAACUUUUUGCUGACUCCUAUGCUGAGCCCAAGAGCUUUCUUAGACGGCAUUCUUGUUAGGUGCCCCACCCGCCUCCUUGUUUUUGUUCUGUGCUACUUUGAAGUGGAACUUCAAGAGCAUGGAGUCCCAGCCAUUCCUUUUCUGGUUGUACACAGGUGGGUGGUUGAUUCAAGGUCAUCAACCGGGCACAGAGCCGGUUGAAGCACUUGGCUUCUCAGACAGUAUUACUUCCUCUACAGCUUGUCCGCCUUUUUGUAAUUUUCAUGGUUUUCAGGAUAGCCCAGUGCAUUGCCCGGUCUCAAGGCUGACUCAGAGUCCUUGCCUGUGGUAGCUAUAGAAGAAAAGAUAGGGUCGAACAUGGAUGAGCAAGAGGUCCACUAUAAAAGUAACUCUUGGGCAGGAGGUUCUAUGCCCCCUUUGUUCGCAAAUAACUUGGGUAUUUCUAUACCCUCUUUAGCUCAUUUUUGCCCCUGCCUAAACGACACAGAGAGCUGGUUCUGAGCUACUCUAACCCUCUAAGGCUGCCUAUUUCCCAGCCACAUGUUCCUUUAUCCUCCGUCUGAGUCUUGCUCUAGUUCAUUUGGGUCCACGUACAUCCAUGUAUAGACUCCCUUGGCGCCCUGCUCAUGGCGACUCCUCAUGGUCUCUCCACAUCUUCCUCUCCUCUGGUCCUUCUCUACCCUCUUGUCUCCUUUGGGAACCCCUAACUGGAACCGGAAGUCCUGCCCAAUUCUCUUCUGCCUAGUUAAUUGGCUGAUUCAACUCUUUAUUAACCAAUCAGGAGGUGUGGAGAAGACUGAGACAUAAAAUAAAAAUUCAUAAAAAUUCACAAUACCAAAGUCUGCCCUAUACUAACUCUUUGCCAGUAGAGAAAUCAGCAUUUGAAUAAUAUGAAGACAACCUUUAUACAGAUCACAAAACCAUCCUCCAACACCCCACCCUUUUGUUCAUCUCUUAUCUGGGGGCUUGGAACAGUUGAACCAUCCAUCUUUUGGGUGUUAUCAGGGCAGCAGCAGCAGAGACUUUCAUUUGUAACUGAGUUCAAGGCUAUCUUUUCCACAGGAGCCCUUUCUGCUUCCCUGGGAGAGGUAGCAGUCAUGACACCGUGCUGUGGAAUGUUCUAUCCACUUGCUUUGGAUUUUAGGAAUCCAUCCAAUGACCAUGCAGGAAGUCAUCUCAACCUUCCCUGCCCGUAAGAAGCUUUAAAAUUGGCCAGAACCUCGGGGGCAGUUGAGCUAUUAAUGGAAAAUGAAUCAACUCCGAGGCCCUUAAAAGUUAAUACUACUUGUGUAGUAUAAACCACAUUCCCAUAGACCUUGACGGAUGUCUAGGAAGCCUUGUGGCUUCCUAGAAGAAACAGCCUUCUCACAAGCUGUGCUGCUUUUUGAAUUUGUCAGGCUGAGUAGGUAUGCAUCUUCAACAAGGAUGGGUUAGCAUAGGCAGAGGCAGGACUGAAGGACCUUUCAAACGAGACCUGGAAAGAAUGGGACCACACCCUUAGUCCAACCUCUUGUCAGAGCCAAGUUCAACCCCAGGAUUUCCUUUUCCUAUAGCUCAUAGAAAAGAGGGCCAGACACUUGCAACAGGGCUUUUCUAAUUCCAGGCAAGGCUUACUUUUUGGAGUAUGGACCUGUGGGUGUACCCUGGUAGUUGGAGCUCAUCCAACCAUGCUGGCCCCAGCCCCUAUCCAUACCACUCACCCUCAUGGCUCAGGGCCUUUGCACUCACAGCCUCACUCAGAGCUGCUGCUUCUCCUCUAGGAGAGGAGAAGCUUCCCCAGUGCUAACACCAGAGGCUUUAGGGCAGCCAUCCUCCACUGUCCUAAUGCUAUAAUACAGCUCCUCCUGCAGUGGUGACCUCCCAGCCAUAAAAUUAUUCUGUUGCUACCUCAUCACUGUAACUUUUCUACUGUUAUGAAUCGUAACAAAAAUAUCUGAUAUGCAGGACAUUUGAUAUGUGACUCCUGUGAAAGGGUCGUUCAGCUCCCAGAGGGUUUGCACACUUAGGUUGAGAACCACUGCUCUAAAUGAUCACCUACAUACUCCAUGUCUUUUCCCAUGGUCACAUGGGGAUUAUGUUUAGGAACUACGGUUUAGAGGGGAAUGCUAGCCUUCCCUCUUUUCUACAUGCAUAUAGGAAUGCAGGCAUGCAUGCAGGCUUUCUACCUCCAAUCAACUCUAUCAUCAGCUGAGCCCUGUUUCCUUCCACAGCAGGGUCCUUGGAGCCCAGCGCUGAGCUGGUGUUGGCUCUAAAAAUAACCGUGUCCACAGUGAUGAAUGGGAAGGCAUUUGCUCUCCUUUCCCUGCCUCAGCGCCGAGCCUGACUCAUGUUGGAAAAUGACAUUCUGUUAACACAAGCACUUUUGUUUCCUCCUGUGCUCACUCAACAUCCGGUGAGGGCCCUGGCCAGGCCUGACUUUCAAUUUUCAAAGCCUCUUUUGGAGGUCUAUUCCAUAUCCCUAUCUAGUGACAUUAAGGAUACCUUUAGACAAAAAGGAAGGAGAGAAGCAUCUUGAACAUCCCUGGAGGAUGCUGUGGAUGUGCUGGGUCCCAGCAACACCUAAACCAGGCACGGUGGCCUACACCAGUGAUCUUAGUAUUUGGGAAGUAGAAGGAGAAGGACCAAAAGUUUUUAAACUUAAAUUCAUCCUCAAAUGCGGAGAGAGUUUGAGGCCAGCCUGGCCUGCCUAAAACCCUGACAAUAAACAGACUGACAAACCGACAGACAGGCAGACAGAUUCUGUUGGACAGAAAGGUAGGCAGACAUAAGAGGAGAGUCAGGUUCCAAAAGUGGCCAUAGGGCUGCAUUGCCCAGUCAGUCACACCUUUCAGUGUUUGUUGGGGAGGUGUGAGGCAACCAGUCCUUAGCAGGAGAUGUUGGCCUUAGGGACAUUCCAGUGUUAACUCUUGUUUUGAACUCAGGUGCCUUCACAAAGUUAAUAAAGAAGGAGGGGUGGAUGCUAGCUCCUAGAUUCAGCUACUUCUGCAUUCAAAGUUGGUUGAUUCAGCUGACAGGAGCAGGAAGAGCUCCCUGUGGCUCAACAGAUCACUUUGGGGGAAGGACCAAGUGGACCCUGAAAAGUAGGCUUCUUUCUGUGCUUUCAGUUUCUCCUCUCUGCUCCGUGACUCCUUAGAGCAAGCCAGCCAGGGGAGCUCUUUUUCAGAAGGCCUGGGCUUUUCUUGGUGAGGUCUUCCCUUCAUUCUACUCAGUAUUCCUUAUCUUCUCUGUCUUGCCCUUCCUUCUCUCCUCUCCCUAGUGUAAGACAUAGCUUUUCUACAUUUAAAGAAGAAGUUAACCAUUUUUAAAAAAUAAUUUAUUUUAUUUAAUGUGCAUUGAUGUGAAGGCACCAGAUCUUCUGGAACUGAAGUUACAGACAGCUGUGCACUGGCAUAUAGGUGUUGGGAAUUGAACCCCAGUCCUCUGGAGGAGCAGCCAGUGCUCUUAACUACUGAGCAGCUCUCUGGCCCAGGCGUUUUCUACUCUGAUUACUAAACAAGUAUAGACCAUUCUGUUUGAGUUCUCUGUUGACUACAGAAGGUUCCUGGGCCAUGUGGGCAGUGUUCAUCCUUGCUUUCUUUCUUUCCUUAGAGUUCAGGGGCUUUGAUGUAUGUCCUAACAGUUCAUGUGUUUGAAGCACAAUUUUGUACAUCAUAGGUCAGUGGAAUUUGGAGGCAGGACCUUGAGUGGGGUUACGUGAAAUCAUGAAGAUGAGGUCUCUAUAAUGGCCUUGGUGCCUUUGUAAGAGGACAAGCAAUCUGGAUUGCCAUGUUCCUUCUUUCUCAUGAUAGCAUGACCUCUCCCAUGUUAUGAGACAGCAAGAGGGCCAUCACCAGAAGCACUUAAUGUUGGAUGUUUUGGAAGUAUAAGGAAUUAAAUUUCCUUAUAAACAGCCCAGUCUCGGGUGUUUUGUUCCAGCAGUAGAAAAAGAAAAGCCAAGAGGUGUGCCCAUAUUUUGAAGAGUGCCUGAGGACACUGAUGCCCUUGGCUGCUCUCCAAACUAUUUUGGUGGUCACUCACCCCUGAAUGCCUGGCCUGAACCAACUUAUAUUGCUUUGUCUUUCCUGAUAGUUCUUGUUUGCAUGCAUGACUCUGUAUCUUUCUUUGUGAUCUUGUCACUCUCCAAGACUUACAUUUUUUGUACUUAUCCACUCAUCAGCAGGGAUAACUAACCAGGAGAGGCAUAUCCAAGGAAAAAGAUCGGGCAGAGAUACCCUCUCUCCACCACUAUAUCUACUGAGAUUUCUCUACUGAGAAAGCCCCUCAAGGGACUGGGAAAACUUUGCACACUGCGAGCUAAAAUGGAUUAGGUCCCAGGGAAUUAUCCUGGAUGUCUGCAGAGUGGAGCCAAAGUCCAUCUUGGGAUAUUUAUAUGAUGACAGAAGCUUCCAGCAUUGACCGAUGCCACGCACAGUUGAGCAGCAGUGGCUUCUGCCAAGUCCUCUCCGUUUGCAAAAGUCUCCCGCUUGCUAAACAUGUCAGUUCCUUGCUGAGGGUUAACUGCUCGGCAAGGUUUUGAUCUAUAUGUGAAAAAGCAACCGGAGUCACUUCUGCGGGCAACCAGCCUCUGCCUCUCUCCUUCCUUUCCCUGUCUCAGGAUGACAUCUCAACAGCCUUGCUCUGAUGGCUGCCACAGAGCAACUCUUCUAAAAUUAGAGGGCACAGAGAUCUUUUUCAUUUCUUUUUAAACUUGGACCUUGUAAGUUAACCUUCUCCCCAGCGAGGUAGGCUUCUAGACAGGCUGGUUUCACUGCUAUAAAGAUAAAUGAAAGGCUAAGUAGAGCCAGGAGCACCACCCGGGGCUAUAGCUGAUGACUUGACAAGUCAUUUAUUCCAGGGCAUAGCCUGGCUUCUAGCCAGGCCCUCCAAUGGAAGCUGAGCUAAGGAAAAACCCCAGUGAGGUGGGUGACCCCCAGCAUGGGUCCUCUGCUUUCCGCUAAAGCCAUCCAGCAUCUGGUGGAUGUGCAUAAUUAGUAUCGCUUUGGAGGAUAAUGAUUUGGUCUCAUGGAAAAAGGAGAGUUUGUCCAAGAUAAUGUCUGGUAAACUUUGACAUUCCACCCUGAAAUGGCCUUCACGUAGAAUCACUAAACAGCCAGGAGAUCACAUUACAGCAUGUUCCACCAUUGAAUCUGUCCCCAAAUCCCAGUCUUGCCUCAAACAAAAGAAGCCCUGAUGUGGGAGGAUCUGGAUCAGCAGAUGGAAGGAAAAACAUACACUGCCAAGGCUAAACUUCUAAAGGUUUCGGCCCAAUAGUUUUCACUUUGUGUUUGGAAAAACCCAAGAUUCAAGAAUAGAGAAUCAAAGUGGAAGAACAGGACAAAGUGAAUGACUUUCACUCUCUAGAGCAAGGCGCCCACUCACCUCUUAGGGUUGCAGAGUCCUUUUAUCUGUUCUCUUAAAGAACCACUGAGGGGGAGUGUGUGGGCCAGGGGGCAGUGGUGCAAUAUCAAUAGUGGAAAGAAAUGAAGCUGUCCCCAUAGGCUUGUUGGCCAGGACGUGAGAUCUUGCCGUCUAAGAGGGAGAGGUGAGGAAGAGGUGUUGACUAAGUCCAGAUUUUGCUAAGCUACAAACACAAGACUCAACAGGAGGAGGCAAGUCAUCUUGUUCUGUGACACAGGUGAAAAGUUGUGCCUGUGAAAUCUUUCCAGAGGACUUAACAAAAGAGCAGCCCGUGCUGCUUAGCCAAUGGCAAGUCCUAAACACCCACUGCGUGUGGGGCGCCCUGCUGUUGCACUGCUGUUACAGGGAAUCAAGAGGGUGAGCAGGGCAGGGUGGCCAGUCUAAGAGCCAGUCUGGUGGCUGAGGUGGUGGUAUUUUUACAGGUGCACACCAAGGGCAUACAUCUCAAGGGAUGGGUUACUUCGUAAAGUUCAGAUGAGUUCCCCCCUCCCCCUUUGACAUCACGCUGUCAUAUCCUAUCCUAAACAACUCCUAAACUUUAAAAUUAUCCUCUCAAUAAAAUGUUGGCAAUUCACUCAGAGUCCUCUGGAGUGUUUUGAAACUGCUGGUUGAUGAAAUCCCCAAGGCUGGCAAUCACAAAUGUAGUCGAAAGGACUUGGGCUCCUGGGACAGAGAAACAUAGCCUUAAAUCUGAGUUUGUUGUUUAUUGGUUAUGUGACCUUGGAGUACUUCAUCUCACUCAGAGUCCCUGUUCUAACUAUGGCAUUGAAAAGUCUCCUGAAGAAUGAAAGCCUGUGGGCCUACAUACCUAGAUACCUUCAACAUGUAUUCCCUAUAUUUACAGGCACAAUUAUAAUGUAUUAGGUACUUGGAGAGACAAGGGAGACUUCUGAUAAUCCUUAGUCUCAGGGAGGCAAAAAUGUGGCUGAUGUUUCUUCUGUCCCUGAAAUCACUAGCAAUGUAGAAAGCCUAGCACGUCUCUCCCCUGCCUCAGUGGUUUCUUUGCAUUGGUAGCGGUGGCAGGAACUUUCAGAGGCUGCUUCACACCAUCCACAUUACAUUGUUUUUCCAUGGCUGGCUUCAGUUUACACUAGGGCUCACUCAAAGCUCGUAAAGUUCCCCCUGAAACCUCGUAACGUUUCACCUGUGGAAGUUUAUUGCCCACAGGAUGUGAACUGUGUCCAUUUGCUCUUGAUAGAUUUGCCAUUAUUAAAUAUGGUUUCCCAUUUUCUACCAGUCUUGUAAAGAUGGCCACCUCCUGAUUGGGCAUAAUAGACAAUCUCCCCCGGUGAGGAAAUAUCUCAACUCCUCAAAACAGUUUUGCUUGUCAGCAAGGAUUUUUGUUCCCAGGCUUCUGAGGUUCAGGAGUUUGCUCCAGACCUGGGCAGUGUGUGUCCUCCCUAAAGUACACUCCAAAUUUACUCCAGCUACUCAGACUCCUCCUAGCUGUCAUUCUUAGGAAUCCGUUCAUAGAUGUAUGCCGACCUGAAGAGUUACGCUUAUUGGAGACAUUAGAGGGGUGUUAAAGUUGUUUGUGGUUGUGUGACUAGGAAGAGCCCCUGUAGACUCAUGUGUUUGAAUGUUUGGCCGGCAGGAGUGGCACUAUUAGGAGGUGUGGCCUUGUUGGAGUAGGUGUGGCCUUGUUGGAGUAGGUGUGGCCUUGUUGGAGUGGGUGUGGCCUUGUUGGAGUGGGUGUGGCCUUGUCGGGGAAAGUGUGUUGCUGGGAGUGGGCUUUGAGGUUUCAGAUGCUUGAGCCAGGCCCAGCGUUACUCUUUCUUCCUGCUGCCUGUGAAUCAAGAUGUAGAACUCUUGGCUCCUUCUCCAGCACCAUGUCUGCCUGCACACUGCCAUGCUUCCCACCAUGAGGAUAAUAGACCAAACCUCUGAGACUGUUAGCCAGCCCUAGUUACAUAUUUUCCUUUAUAAGAGCUGUUGUGGUUAUUAUGUCUCUUCGUAGCAGUAGAAACUCUAAGACAAUGUUCUUCCUAAAGUUAAGGGCAACUUUCAAAUGCAUAAAAGCAAUCUGAAUGGGCUAAAAUUCCUCUCUCUGGGACAGUCACCCAAUGGCUUUGGUGUUAUAUGGUGGUUCUAUAGAUAAGAACACAUAAAGAGUCUCUCAGGUGUGUGUCUGAGUCAAGAAGAGCUUUUAGGGGUGAAGCUCAGUGAGAAAAACUUCAUUCUGUUCCUAUGAUGGAGAAUGGACCUGGCUGCACAGAGACACUUCAGGGGUAACCAUAUGUGCAUCGUCAGUUCAGACACUAACAGAGCAAAGUUGAGGGAAGUUCAAACCCAGAUAAAGCCCAUUGAUCUGAGAAUGCAAUUUGAGGAGCUGAGGCUAUGGAGUGAGACUCAAGGAAAUGAUAUAGAGAUGUCCUGGGAUGGUGUGGAAAGAGGAAUGGUGGGAUCUGCAGCUAGACAGAGCUAAAGUGUCUCUCAGCCUGGUACAUGAGGCAGGUAGAGAGUCCGGUUACAAUGGAGAAACAUUGGGCUCAGAGAACAAAGUGGAGGAACUCAGGUUGAAGCCUGAUAUUUCACUGUAAACUUUAACAGAAACUGAAGUCAACAGCUCAGCCUUGUCUUGCGUCCGUUGUCUGCUCUCCUUGUUCUGAAGUACAAACAGCCAACUCACGGCUCAACGACGAUCUGUUGGCUCAUAAAUCUCCCAGUUAUUGACACCAAAGGGAGUUCUUUCUUCAGGAACUGGUAAGCCCUGGUGACUGUCUAUCGCUAGGUUCCUAGUUGAUCUCCUUUUCAGGAAGAUGUUUCUAGGUCCUAGCUUCCAGCAGUUUCUGCUCACUUUCUCCCAGUUCUAAAUUCAACUGAAAGUGAGCCCUUUCUUCCUAAGAAUUCUUAAAACAGGACAGAAAGAAAAGGGUUGCGGAAUUGGGACAGGUAGGCCUUUCUGGAGCUCAGAAGUAGAGGACUAGCUAUGGAAUGAAGGAGGAUGGGUUCCCAGGGGAACAGGCAGAUCCUGGUGAAGCACACAGGGUAGAUGUCUACAUCCCAGCCUGCAGCCCAUGAGCCCUGGAGCUGGGGGCACCAGGCUUGGAAGGCAAGAGCUGCCAAUGGCAAUGAACGGAGAGUGUCUGCCAGCUGGAAGACCUCCCCUUUGUCAAAGCUCAGCCCAACACUUCAGGCAUGAGCCAACCUGCAACACAGACAAAGGAACUCCAUUUCUAUGUCAGGACUUGUCUGUUAGGGAACGCCCAUGCCUGGAAUGCAGGUGUUCCACAGCCUCCAACACAUCUGCCAGGCAUGCAGAAAAUGCCCCUCAACUCCCAACACACACACACACAUACACACACACACACACACACUCACACACAUACAAUGCACUCAUAUACACAGUAACACACACUCACAGACACACACACACAGACAUUCACACACACACACACAUACACACACACAAACACCACACUCAGACACAAACACACACACACAUACACACAUACAUACACUCACACACACACCACACUCAGACACAAACACACACACAUACACACAUACAUACACUCACACACACUCACACACAUACACUCACACACAUACACAGUCACACACAAACACCACACUCAGACACACACACACACACACACACACACACACACACACACACACACACACCAGACACACACACCACAUACCCCUAGCCUUCUGCACAGGGACCUUCUUUCAGGCACCCUGUCCCCUCUUUUCACAGCUUCAGUGUUUGCUUCCACUCCCUUUCCAACAUCAGGGGAUAUUUGACCGAAUGAAGAAAGAGCAUGUAAAGCGGUCUUACUCUGCUCAUCUUUCUCUUCCUCGGGCCAUAAUCAUAACAGUACUUCAUUAUACUUUUAAAAUGCCCAGCUUGUCUCAGCUGGGUGAGCCCAGGCCUGACUUGGGCAUACAUGCCAGCAUAGAGCGGCUCAAUCCCUGAAGCCUGACUGCCGAGAGUUCACCGUCCCUUGAUCUUAAUCUCAGGGCCCCUUCCUUCUUUCCAAAGGCUUUUGGAGGAGAGGGACAUUCUUCUAAGCAAGGGGCAUACUGAGAAGUCAUCGCUAUGAGUUCAUUCUCCACACUGGAGACAUUAGAAUCUGCCCUUCCUUGCACCCCUACCCUCUACCCCUCCGCCUUCAAUUCUUCUGCUCUUCGAGCUGGAAACUCUCCUGACAAAGCAAAGACAGAGGUGACAAAUCAUGUAGGGGUCACAUUCCUGUGUCUCCCCCUCUUGGCUACCCCUAGGCUGAGGGAGUCUGGAAAACAUCAAGUGAUUCAAAGAAUGAGCUGAAUGGUUCUUCAUGCUUCCUAUGUGGUGCCAAGGAACAGAGCAGCAACUGAUGCAAGAAUUGGACAGAGCAGGAGUUGAGCUCAGAAUCCCCACAAAGAAUAUUUAGUCGGUCCUCAGCUCCGAAAAAAAAGAACCAAAAAAAAAAAAGAAUAUUUAGAUGUGCUCAAUGGAUCUGUGUACAGCUACAAGGCUUCGGGGCUGGGCAGAGCUGGGUUCUGCUCAAAGGGUAUGUGCAGCCAGCGUUUGCUGGAAUCCUCCUCUUUUCCUAGGGCCUAUUCCUCUGAAGUAAGAAUAAUGGUGCUGGGUAAUUGGGGCAUCUGGGACAGGCCCAGCAAGGUCUCGGGGUUUGGAGAAAUGUCAUUUAUUUCAUUGAGAGGUGACAAGCAGGCAGCAGGGGGGAAAGUCUCUCAUGGGACAAUGACACGCUCCACACAGUUGUUCCGCAUGUUCAACAGGCUGUGUGUGGUCCAGUAAGACAGACGCAUCCUGGCAUAGUCUCCUAGCCUCAGUCUCUGUCAACAGAGAAGCCUCUCUGGAUCACAGCUGCGCCAUUUUUUUCUUUCUUAGAAAUUCCCAAAGACCCUGCACGCUGAUCUUGCUCCGCCCAGGUAGCUGACCCUGGAUCGGACCCUUCACUGUUUCCACGCUCUUUCAGAUUCAGAAGUACCUUGUCUGGAUUUCCUGGAGUCAGAGCUAAAGCGGACAGCUUGGUUCCCCCUACUCUCUUCCCAGUCUGUGUGGAACCUAAGCUCUGUUUUGUUUGCUUGGUCUUAUUUGCUUCGAGGCUGCCCUUUGCGCAUGCUCAGAACCCUUCUGCGGCCCUCGUAUAAAAAUCCGUUGGCUUCAAAACUGGUUUUUGAACUUGGGAGUUAAAAGAUACAGGCAUUAUUACAGCCAGGGAGAGUGUAUGGAAGCACAAUAUCUAAGCGAGGUGCCCAACAUAGAUUCCUGGGAUAGGGGGACAAAAGGUCUUUUGUUGAAAGCCAAGACAAUCUGAGUAAAGGAUUUUAGCUGAUAAAAGACUCAAAACAAAUUGACAUUUUCUCCCAUUGCAAUCUGAUUUGAAUAAUCCCACAUUUCCCCCACAGGACAGCUAUCUCGAAGAGGAUUAAGAGCAAGAACUGGAAAAAAAGAAAGCAUAUAAAGACUGAGGUUUCAGUGGAUAAUUACAUGUAUUUUUUUUCCCGUAAUUCCAUUCAUUCUUUGUAGCAAAAUAAACCAAUGGUAGAGAAC
Non-coding RNA from Rattus norvegicus (Norway rat), 19464 nucleotides. The record is from RefSeq and is a predicted model, not a curated record. Lineage: Eukaryota; Metazoa; Chordata; Mammalia; Rodentia; Muridae.